GAUGAACGCUGGCGGCGUGCCUAAUACAUGCAAGUCGAGCGAACAGACGAGGAGCUUGCUCCUCUCACGUUAGCGGCGGACGGGUGAGUAACACGUGGAUAACCUACCUAUAAGACUGGGAUAACUUCGGGAAACCGGAGCUAAUACCGGAUAAUAUAUUGAACCGCAUGGUUCAGUAGUGAAAGACGGUUUUGCUGUCACUUAUAGAUGGAUCCGCGCCGCAUUAGCUAGUUGGUAAGGUAACGGCUUACCAAGGCAACGAUGCGUAGCCGACCUGAGAGGGUGAUCGGCCACACUGGAACUGAGACACGGUCCAGACUCCUACGGGAGGCAGCAGUAGGGAAUCUUCCGCAAUGGGCGAAAGCCUGACGGAGCAACGCCGCGUGAGUGAUGAAGGUCUUCGGAUCGUAAAACUCUGUUAUUAGGGAAGAACAAAUGUGUAAGUAACUAUGCACGUCUUGACGGUACCUAAUCAGAAAGCCACGGCUAACUACGUG
This 497-nucleotide ribosomal RNA is filed under the name uncultured bacterium. Its description in RNAcentral is "partial 16S ribosomal RNA". It matches the Rfam family "Bacterial small subunit ribosomal RNA", at positions 28 to 507 of the family's 1533-position model. The record is from RNAcentral.